AAACGUCUUCAGGGCGGGGUGAAAUUCCCCACCGGCGGUAAGGGAGCCAUUCCCCAGCCCGCGAGCGCUUUCCGCCAGGGAAAGGUCAGCAGAUCAGGUGAGAAACCUGGGCCGACGGUCAGAGUCCGGAUGAAAGAAGAUGAAG
This is a regulatory RNA element of Alcaligenes sp. EGD-AK7, 145 nucleotides long. It matches the Rfam family "FMN riboswitch aptamer (RFN element)". From Rfam's summary of the family: The RFN element is a highly conserved domain that is found frequently in the 5'-untranslated regions of prokaryotic mRNAs that encode for flavin mononucleotide (FMN) biosynthesis and transport proteins. This element is a metabolite-dependent riboswitch that directly binds FMN in the absence of proteins. NCBI's taxonomy places the organism in Bacteria, Pseudomonadati, Pseudomonadota, Betaproteobacteria, Burkholderiales, Alcaligenaceae. The record is from Rfam.